GAAAUUGAAAAUAAGGUAAAAGUCCCUAUUAUGAGACGAUGUCCCCAUUUAUGAUACACUACAUAAAAAUACUAUUUUAUAAAAACAAACACACCGCUAGCAUACCAAAAAUAUAAAAAAUAUUUCAAUUCACAUAUUUCAAAAGCAAUUUUCGACUUUUGCUCUUAAUUAAUUUCACACUGUUUUUAAAAAAUAUUUAUUAAAGUGCGAGGUUUGUUAUCUGUGCUCAAAGCCACGACCGAGAAUAGUAAAACGGCAACGGCUACCUAGUUUCUUAUAUUAGUUUAAUUUCAUUGUCUCUUCUUCUUUUAUGUUAAAUUGUAUAUCAAUUGAAAGCUGAUGAGUCAUAGACUUUAUUUCUAUACAUAUUUAUGCGUUUUUUUUAUUACAAUAUUUUAAAUCUGAGUGUCUCACAAUACCUACACUUAUAAACGUGAAUGCCCCGGUUUAUGAGACAUUUUACUAGGUAUACCAUGUAACACGGACAUGUGUAUUUCGGCUUGUCCCGAUUAAUUGAGACGGUGUACAUUUAUAAGAUUUUAUAUUGUUAAUAUGUUAUAUUAAUUAUAAAAAUAGUGCAAUUAUAUGUCAUAAAAUAUUGGCUGUUAUUAAAACCUCAAAUAUUUUUCUAAAAGCUAAGUAAAAAGUAAUUUAUAAUAAAAAGCUGAGAUAAUGAGGCAUAAACAAAAUCCUAAAGAGACAAAAACUCAAUCAUCAAAUUCAACCAAAAAAAAGUGUUGUGUUCCAAUGUGAAUAAUAAACUGAAGAAAAAAAAGUUAAAAGGCUUAAGUAAUUAUGAUUCGUCAAAUAUAGAAAAAGCUUUAAAAGCAAUAGAAGACACAGAGAUGUCCUUGAGAAAAGCAGCUGCUGUUCAUGGAGUACCGAUUGCUACCUUUGUUAGAUGAAAAAGUAUUAGUCCUGAGAAGGCAAAAAUUAGAACUGAGCCAGCGACAGUAUUAUCUUUAAAAGAAGAGAAUGUUAUUGUUCAGUUGUUAUUCUACAGAGCAGCAAUAGGGUCACCUGUGACGAAAACUGACUUAUUAAAGAUGACAAUCAUUCUAAUGUGAUAAACUGUGAAUAAAAUAAUUUAACUAAUGAUGGACAACUUUUUACGGUUAUAUAUGAAUCUAGUCAAAGCUCAAAAAUAUUCAUCCUACAAAUCCUAUAAACAACAAAAUUUAUCAAUUAGAAUUUAUGAAAGAAAAUUUGGAUCCUACGCCUGCAAUGAUUGACGAACAUCGUUUUAUUCAUAAGUUUUCAUCAAUAACUGUUGAUAACGAUAAAUCUCCCGAAAAACCUCUGAAAGAAAUAUUCACUUUGCCGUUGGAUUAUUUACUGAAGAAAAAAAUAAUAAAAAUUGAAAAACAGGCAAGUCAAAGUUACCAUCUGUGGGGAUCUCUGAUGAAUGGUACAAACAA
Molecule: long non-coding RNA, 1418 nt
Filed under: Cotesia glomerata
Lineage: Eukaryota; Metazoa; Arthropoda; Insecta; Hymenoptera; Braconidae
Description: uncharacterized LOC123270624
Source: RNAcentral